This is a long non-coding RNA of Coccinella septempunctata (seven-spotted ladybird), 249 nucleotides long. RefSeq lists it as uncharacterized. The record is from RefSeq and is a predicted model, not a curated record. NCBI's taxonomy places the organism in Eukaryota, Metazoa, Arthropoda, Insecta, Coleoptera, Coccinellidae. The transcript has 2 exons.
AUUCUAGAAAUCUGUUCCGGAGAGGGUUUAAAGCUCCAAUUAGAUCUUUUUCCCUGAGGAUUUAUUUCGACCAUGAAGAGUGCACUAGGGCUAGUGUAGAAUGUUCCAUCAAUCAAAGUUAAUGAAUGAUGAACUUCAUGGGGAUCCUCUACUAUUCGUCAGAAAAUGACUAAAUUAAUUUUAUUUAAUAAUUGUUAAGCAAAUGUAACAUUUUUGUCCCAAUUAUGUUAAAUAAAAAUAUUUCAGCAA